Long non-coding RNA from Saccostrea echinata, 652 nucleotides. RefSeq lists it as uncharacterized. Lineage: Eukaryota; Metazoa; Mollusca; Bivalvia; Ostreida; Ostreidae. The transcript is spliced from 2 exons. The record is from RefSeq and is a predicted model, not a curated record.
AUUUUCGAAAAAGCACGGUAGACGUUUACAGUCGUCAAUUUAAAUAAGAGUCACACACUCGAGAAGAUGUGUAGUGAGAAGAAACUUGGAAUAUUUGUGCUCUCAAUGGUAUCCGAAAUUAUCGACCUCUUUUUGGAUUGGGAUUUUUUUUACGAAGUCAGCAAAUCAUCUUUUAUUGAAAAGAACGUAAAAAGCGCUAUUCAAGGUUUUGCUAUUUUGGGAACAGUUUUAUUUGUUUUUACAUUCAUAAGCCAGUCGUGUGAUGCGUGCAGCGAUGAUGAAGAAGAAAAUGACUGUACACCGACGCUUUCAUUAAUUUCCACUACACUUGAAGAUUUUCCUCAAAUAAUUUUAGCAGUUAUUGUUGCUGUGAACACUUCUGAACUGAUUUCGUGGGUUCAAAUUUUAAAGGCACUGUAUGGAAUUGUUGAGCCUGCAAUACGAAUAUCUAAAAUUUCAUCAGAAUUGGAAAAAAGCAGACAGAACUUCAGAGAGCCACCAUGUGUAUGUGCGAAAUUCAGUGAUCGGCUUUUUAGCGGAAUAAUUCUGGUGUGCUCAUUUGGACUUCUCCUUGAACUUGUUUUUGACUUUUUUCAUUAAAAAGUAUUUUAUAAAUGCAAUGAAGAUUUUGAUAGCUCAGUAACUCAUAUAA